GGAUAACCUGCCCUUGGGACCGGGAUAACCCCGGGAAACUGGGGAUAAUACCGGAUAACGCAUAUCUGCUGGAAUGCUUUAUGCGUAAAAUGGAUUUGUCUGCCCAAGGAUGGGUCUGCGGCCUAUCAGGUAGUAGUGGGUGUAAUGUACCUACUAGCCUACGACGGGUACGGGUUGUGAGAGCAAGAGCCCGGAGAUGGAUUCUGAGACAUGAAUCCAGGCCCUACGGGGCGCAGCAGGCGCGAAAACUUUACAACGCGGGAAACCGUGAUAAGGGGACACCGAGUGCCAGCAUCAUAUGUUGGCUGUCCAGAUGUGUAAAAUACAUCUGUUAGCAAGGGCCGGGCAAGACCGGUGCCAGCCGCCGCGGUAACACCGGCGGCCCGAGUGGUGAUCGUGAUUAUUGGGUCUAAAGGGUCCGUAGCCGGUUUGGUCAGUCCUCCGGGAAAUCUGACGGCUCAACCGUUAGGCUUUCGGUGGAUACUGCCAGACUUGGAACCGGGAGAGGUAAGAGGUACUACAGGGGUAGGAGUGAAAUCUUGUAAUCCCUGUGAGACCACCUGUGGCGAAGGCGUCUUACCAGAACGGGUUCGACGGUGAGGGACGAAAGCUGGGGGCACGAACCGGAUUAGAUACCCGGGUAGUCCCAGCCGUAAACGAUGCUCGCUAGGUGUCAGGCAUGGCGCGACCGUGUCUGGUGCCGCAGGGAAGCCGUGAAGCGAGCCACCUGGGAAGUACGGCCGCAAGGCUGAAACU
Molecule: ribosomal RNA, 756 nt
Filed under: uncultured archaeon
Lineage: Archaea
Description: bacterial SSU rRNA
Rfam family: Archaeal small subunit ribosomal RNA
Source: RNAcentral